RNAcentral lists this long non-coding RNA (523 nucleotides) under Dromaius novaehollandiae (emu). RNAcentral describes it as "lncRNA (ENSDNVG00000002016.1)". Lineage: Eukaryota; Metazoa; Chordata; Aves; Casuariiformes; Dromaiidae. The record is from RNAcentral.
ACUUGUUUUUACAUAUGACUAGAACUUGUUAUUGAGUUGUUUUUGUGCUCUUUGCACACUUCACUGUGUAGUAUGUAAAUUCUUUUUAGUACAUCCAAAACUUCUAAAGCUAUGCAGCUUGUGUGGUGUUUAACUGCUUAUAACAGCUGUUUAUGAGAUAGUGUGAUCCAACCAAUAAGCAGGUUAGGAAAUGAUAAGCGCAGCAGGGUUAGUCUUUUGAGGUGUUUUGCCUUAGGGAAUAACAACCAAACUUUCUUUGCUGUGGGGACAGUGACGAGGGGAUUUUUCAGGUUUGUUUUCUGGGUUUUUUGCACUGUGCCAGAUACAAAAGGAAAAAAUGAGGUUGUAUAAGACAAUACCUACUUUCAUUCUCUUGCUUACAGGAUAUUUUUGUAAAAAUAUGCAGGUUGCUGCGAACCAAACAUCUUUGCAAUCAGAGGAAACGUACAGUGUCACAUCUGGUGUCUCACCUUUUCACACUGCUGAACCAGCAACAGAUGGGAAAGAUCAUGUUCCAGGCUGA